This 250-nucleotide small nuclear RNA is filed under the name Dasypus novemcinctus (nine-banded armadillo). RNAcentral's name for it is "7SK RNA (ENSDNOG00000027918.1)". It matches the Rfam family "7SK RNA". Rfam says of the family: 7SK was discovered as an abundant small nuclear RNA in the mid-70s but a possible function has only recently been suggested. Two independent studies have found that 7SK RNA binds the CDK9/cyclin T complex (known as elongation factor P-TEFb). The record is from RNAcentral. Lineage: Eukaryota; Metazoa; Chordata; Mammalia; Cingulata; Dasypodidae.
GGAUGUGAGGGCGAUCUGGCUGGCUAGGCAGGUGUCCCCUUCCUCCCUACUGCUCCAUGUGCGUCCCUUCCAAAGUUGCAUGCUCAUUCAAAGAGGAUGACCUUCUCCGCUAGAGGACGACUGUUCUUCAGUCAAGGGUAUACGAGCAGCUGCGAUCUCCUGCUAGAACCUCCAAACAAGCUCUCAAGGAGACACUGGAUGAGCACAAAGAAGAAUUUGAAAGCACACAUAGAAAAAUAGCAGAUAUUAU